RNAcentral lists this ribosomal RNA (522 nucleotides) under uncultured bacterium. RNAcentral describes it as "bacterial SSU rRNA". It matches the Rfam family "Bacterial small subunit ribosomal RNA", at positions 988 to 1509 of the family's 1533-position model. The record is from RNAcentral.
CCAGAGAACUUAGCAGAGAUGCUUUGGUGCCUUCGGGAACUCUGAGACAGGUGCUGCAUGGCUGUCGUCAGCUCGUGUUGUGAAAUGUUGGGUUAAGUCCCGCAACGAGCGCAACCCUUAUCCUUUGUUGCCAGCGGCUCGGCCGGGAACUCAAAGGAGACUGCCGGUGAUAAACCGGAGGGAAGGUGGGGAUGACGUCAAGUCAUCAUGGCCCUUACGGCCAGGGCUACACACGUGCUACAAUGGCGCAUACAAAGAGAAGCGACCUCGCGAGAGCAAGCGGACCUCACAAAGUGCGUCGUAGUCCGGAUUGGAGUCUGCAACUCGACUCCAUGAAGUCGGAAUCGCUAGUAAUCGUAGAUCAGAAUGCUACGGUGAAUACGUUCCCGGGCCUUGUACACACCGCCCGUCACACCAUGGGAGUGGGUUGCAAAAGAAGUAGGUAGCUUAACCUUCGGGAGGGCGCUUACCACUUUGUGAUUCAUGACUGGGGUGAAGUCGUAACAAGGUAGGCGUAGCGAG